AUUGAACGCUGGCGGCAUGCCUUACACAUGCAAGUCGAACGGUAACAGGUCUUCGGAUGCUGACGAGUGGCGAACGGGUGAGUAAUACAUCGGAACGUGCCUAGUAGUGGGGGAUAACUACUCGAAAGAGUGGCUAAUACCGCAUGAGAUCUACGGAUGAAAGCAGGGGAUCGCAAGACCUUGUGCUACUAGAGCGGCCGAUGGCAGAUUAGGUAGUUGGUGGGAUAAAAGCUUACCAAGCCGACGAUCUGUAGCUGGUCUGAGAGGACGAUCAGCCAAACUGGGACUGAGACACGGCCAAGACUCCUACGGGAGGCAGCAGUGGGGAAUUUUGGACAAUGGGCGCAAGCCUGAUCCAGCAAUGCCGCGUGUAGGAUGAAGGCCUUCGGGUUGUAAACUGCUUUUGUACGGAACGAAAAGCCCCGGGUUAAUACCCUGGGGUCAUGACGGUACCGUAAGAAUAAGCACCGGCUAACUACGUGCCAGCCGCCGCCGUAA
RNAcentral lists this ribosomal RNA (498 nucleotides) under uncultured bacterium. RNAcentral's name for it is "partial 16S ribosomal RNA". It matches the Rfam family "Bacterial small subunit ribosomal RNA", at positions 30 to 523 of the family's 1533-position model. The record is from RNAcentral.